Long non-coding RNA from Mangifera indica (mango), 401 nucleotides. RefSeq lists it as uncharacterized. The transcript has 4 exons. The record is from RefSeq and is a predicted model, not a curated record. NCBI's taxonomy places the organism in Eukaryota, Viridiplantae, Streptophyta, Magnoliopsida, Sapindales, Anacardiaceae.
GCGUUGCAGCAAGGACUCAAAUAAAGCUAGAAAUGGCAAUGCAUGUCAGAUGGUGAUCUUAUAUAUUCAUGUAUAAUGAACAGAACUGAUUUCUGACAUUGCCCAAUAUAGCCAAAAAAGGCCACAGAGAUUCUUGGUUUAGGACAUCACAAGUGCACAUUUCUAAUAGGCUAGACGAAAUUUCUCCCCAGGAAAAAAAAAUCAUCAGCUUUUACAAGCCAAGACGAUCUGCAUAUAGAGGAAAUGAAUACUGACAGAACACUUGAUUUUUCUGCCCAAUGUCUUGGUGUUGGAGACUGAGGAGGUCCUUUGAGUUUGAUAUCUGCAUUGAAACAAUGGUGAGAGAUGACAUGAGAAGAGGCAUCUCUCUCUGUCUUAAAGGAGACAGACUACAGAUAUUA